This is an RNA transcript of Drosophila serrata, 1866 nucleotides long. It is a transcript of the gene named Inwardly rectifying potassium channel 2, with no coding region annotated. NCBI's taxonomy places the organism in Eukaryota, Metazoa, Arthropoda, Insecta, Diptera, Drosophilidae. The record is from RefSeq and is a predicted model, not a curated record.
UUAAUCCAUUGGGCAGACUUGCGGAUACGUUGCUCUCGCCAGAUACAGUAGCUUUGUGGCUGCGGCUUCUGUGGCCUCCGCCAGCUUCAGAGUCGAGUGCCCUGUGAUCUCGACUCAUUCCACUCCCGACACGCGUCCACCCAAGAAAGCGAAAUAGGUCGCCAAAUUAGUUACAAUAUCUUUUGGUGGCAAGCCAAAAAGCGAUUGAAACUCUUUAGCAUAACAAUGGCCAUCUAAAAAGUGAUCGGUUUAAAGGUGUCAAUCAAUUCAACAUUUUGACGGCUCAUAAAGAGGUGCUAAAACUACUUAAGCCCAAAACGUGCCGUUCAAAGAAAUAAUUCACGAUGCGUUUCAAUUUCUCCAGCCACUCGGCGGCGCCCACUUCAACGGCAACGGCCACCACGCAGGCCAAUGGUGGGGAUAAGGCCGCCCAGCCCUUGAAGAAGGCCGUCGAGGCGGAUCCCGAUUCCCUGGACAGUGUGAUCAGUAACCCUCACUCCUACCCCAUCACCAUAGUGCCCAAUCGGCCGACCAGCUUCUACGGCCUCUCCUCAAAUGGCAAGGCGUUCCAGCGGCAGCCGAGCUGCAGAUCUCGCAAUUUCCGGCCUGGCAGCAUGCGACGAGUGCGCAGACGUGCGGUUUUCAAGAAUGGAGACUGCAAUGUGGUACAGAAGCACCUCCAAAGGAGACGAGUGCGCUUCCUGCAGGACAUGUACACCACCAUGGUGGACUGGCAGUGGCGUUGGACGUUGCUGGCCUUCGCCCUCAGCUUCAUUCUAUCGUGGCUCUUCUUCGCGCUCAUCUGGUGGCUGAUUGUCUACACACACGGCGAUCUGGAGGAGCUUCAUAUGCCGGACAACCAGGAGGAGUCUGGCUGGGCGCCCUGUGUCUCGGCCAUUGAUGGCUUCACCUCUUGCUUCCUGUUCUCCAUUGAGACGCAACACACAAUCGGCUAUGGAGUGCGCACCACCUCACCCGAGUGUCCCGAGGCCAUCUUCAUGAUGUGUUUCCAGUCCAUCUACGGCGUGAUGUCCUCCGCCUUCAUGGCCGGAAUUGUGUUUGCCAAGAUGACACGGGCCAAGCAGCGGGCACAGACGCUGCUCUUCUCCAAGCACGCGGUCAUCUGCCAGCGGGACGGAUGUCUUUCGCUGAUGUUCCGGGUGGGCGACAUGCGCAAGUCCCACAUCAUCGGAGCCGGGGUGAGGGCUCAGCUGAUUCGCACCAAGAGCACCAAGGAGGGCGAGGUGAUGACGCAGUACUUUACGGAGCUGGAGAUUGGCACCGACGACUCCGGUUCGGAUCUGUUCUUCAUUUGGCCGAUGGUCAUCGAGCACAAAAUAGAUGAGAACUCGCCGCUGUACAAUCUGAAUGCCACCGACAUGCUGCAGGACAAAUUCGAGAUUGUGGUCAUUUUGGAGGGUACCGUAGAGUCCACAGGCCAGAGCACCCAGGCCAGGUCCAGCUAUAUUAACACUGAGAUCCUGUGGGGCCACCGUUUUGACCCGGUAGUGCUGUACAACAAGGACCUACAGGCCUACGAGAUCGACUAUGGUCGCUUCAAUGAAACCACCCAGGUGGACACGCCCCUGUGCAGUGCUCGCGAGCUGAACGAAAUUUAUAAAAUCCAGGAAGGCUUCCGCACACCAGAAACCACCUUCACCAUGCGUCAACUGUCCCACAACCAUUCCGAUCAGGCCUCCUAAAACGUUGGAUCACAGUGUGUUGUCCCAUUUGUUGGUAUAGCUCGUAAGCGUCCUUGUUAUAUCCUCGCCUUCGAUACACAGCUCCUGUUCCGGCUAUCAGUCAUCCGGGAAUCCCAAUCGCCUGCGCUGGCAGCUCUCGGUGCCCUUGUAGAGAUACCCGACU